AACGAACGCUGGCGGCGCGCCUAAUACAUGCAAGUCGAGCGAGAAGGUGUAGCAAUACACUUGUAAAGCGGCGAACGGGUGAGGAAUACAUGGGUAAUCUACCAUCGAGUGGGGAAUAACCAGCCGAAAGGUUGGCUAAUACCGCGUACGCCUCCGGAUCUUCGGGUUCGGAGGGAAAGCCACACUGUGAGUGCGGCGCUCUUUGAUGAGCUCAUGUCCUAUCAGCUUGUUGGUAGGGUAACGGCCUACCAAGGCUUUGACGGGUAGCUGGUCUGAGAGGACGAUCAGCCACACUGGCACUGCGACACGGGCCAGACUCCUACGGGAGGCAGCAGUAAGGAAUAUUGCGCAAUGGGCGAAAGCCUGACGCAGCGACGCCGCGUGGGGGAUGAAGGUCUUCGGAUUGGUAAACCCCUUUCGGGAGGGAAGAUGGAGCGAGCAAUCGUUCGGACGGUACCUCCAGAAGCAGCCACGGCCAACUUCGUGCCAGCAGCCG
RNAcentral lists this ribosomal RNA (496 nucleotides) under uncultured bacterium. RNAcentral's name for it is "bacterial SSU rRNA". It matches the Rfam family "Bacterial small subunit ribosomal RNA", at positions 29 to 517 of the family's 1533-position model. The record is from RNAcentral.